UUCGAAGAGUUUACUUAGAGAAAUUUUUAGUGGCGGACGGGUGAGUAACGCGUGGGUAACCUACCCAUAAACCCGGGACAACCCUUGGAAACGAGGGCUAAUACCGGGUAAUCUUUUGGUUUGGCAUCAAACUUAAAGAAAAGGUGGCCUCUGUAUAUGCUACCGAUUAUGGAUGGACCCGCGUCUGAUUAGCUAGUUGGUGGGGUAAAGGCCUACCAAGGCGACGAUCAGUAGCCGGCCUGAGAGGGUGAACGGCCACACUGGGACUGAGACACGGCCCAGACUCCUACGGGAGGCAGCAGUGGGGAAUCUUCCGCAAUGGACGAAAGUCUGACGGAGCAACGCCGCGUGUAUGAUGAAGGUCUUCGGAUUGUAAAGUACUGUCUUUGGGGAAGAACGACGGAUUUGAAAAUAUUGAGUCCGUAUGACGGUACCCAAGGAGGAAGCCCCGGCUAACUACGUGCCAGCAGCCGCGGUAAUACGUAGGGGGCAAGCGUUGUCCGGAAUUAUUGGGCGUAAAGGGCGCGUAGGCGGAUGUUUAAGUCCGGUGUGAAAGAUCAGGGCUCAACCCUGAGAGUGCAUCGGAAACUGGGCAUCUUGAGGACAGGAGAGGAAAGUGGAAUUCCUAGUGUAGCGGUGAAAUGCGUAGAUAUUAGGAGGAACACCAGUGGCGAAGGCGACUUUCUGGACUG
RNAcentral lists this ribosomal RNA (692 nucleotides) under uncultured bacterium. Its description in RNAcentral is "bacterial SSU rRNA". It matches the Rfam family "Bacterial small subunit ribosomal RNA", at positions 65 to 736 of the family's 1533-position model. The record is from RNAcentral.